CGAAAACGCGAGAUGUAACAGACUGUAUUCACGGCGUGAAACAGGGGAUUACACUAUUUUUAAACGGAAAGUGAAUCAAUUAACAUAAUAGACUCCU
This 97-nucleotide microRNA precursor is filed under the name Nicotiana sylvestris (wood tobacco). RNAcentral's name for it is "MIR6152 microRNA precursor family". It matches the Rfam family "MIR6152 microRNA precursor family". RNAcentral also lists the same sequence under 1 other name. The record is from Rfam by way of RNAcentral. Lineage: Eukaryota; Viridiplantae; Streptophyta; Magnoliopsida; Solanales; Solanaceae.